Molecule: ribosomal RNA, 608 nt
Filed under: Dryops algiricus
Lineage: Eukaryota; Metazoa; Arthropoda; Insecta; Coleoptera; Dryopidae
Description: eukaryotic LSU rRNA
Rfam family: Eukaryotic large subunit ribosomal RNA
Source: RNAcentral
GGAGUCUAACAUGUGUGCGAGUGUUCGGGAUUCGAAUCCCAAGCGCGAAAUGAAAGUAAAGUCCUUCUUAGGAUGAGGUAGGAUGGGUGAGCAAUUGCCCUGCACUAUCGACCGACCAUGCUUCUACGGAAAAAAGGUUUGAGUGUGAGCAUACAUGUUGGGACCCGAAAGAUGGUGAACUAUGCCUGCAUAGGACGAAGCCAGGGGAAACUCUGGUGGAGGUCCGUAGCGAUUCUAACGUGCAAAUUGAUCGUCGAAUGUGGGUAUAGGGGCGAAAGACUAAUCGAACCAUCUAGUAGCUGGUUCCUCCCGAAAUUUCCCUUAGGAUAGCUGCAACCGAACAGUUUUAUCAGGUAAAGCGAAUGAUUAGAGGCCUCAGGGGUGAAACGUCCUUGACCUAUUCUCAAACUUUAAAUGGGUAAGAGCCCCGGGUUGCUUGAGUGAACCUGGUGGUGGAAUGAACGGUUGCUAGUGGGCCAAUCUGGGUAAGCUAGAUUGGCGAUGCGGGAUGAUCCGAACGUUGAGUUAAAGUGCCAAAGUGUCCGCUAACCUAGAUCCCACAAAAGGUGUUGGUUCAUUAAGACAGCAGGACGGUGGCCAUGGAAGUC